Monodelphis domestica (gray short-tailed opossum) is the source of this 1046-nucleotide long non-coding RNA. RefSeq lists it as uncharacterized. The record is from RefSeq and is a predicted model, not a curated record. Lineage: Eukaryota; Metazoa; Chordata; Mammalia; Didelphimorphia; Didelphidae.
UGAAAGGUCUUCUUCCUCCAAUGAUAUGGUGCCCUUCAUCUCAGUCUCAGAGUAUCUUACUUAACUGAAGCUGGAUCUUAUGACAAGUUGCUAAAGCAGCCAGAGAAACAACGGAUCUGAUUAUCUUAGCCAGCUUUAAGAUGGAAACCAGUUGUUAGGAUCAAAUCCAAAGGAUCUCCAUCUGUUUUAAUUAUGACUACUUGAUCAGAGAUGUUUUUCUGUGUCACAGAAACAAUGUGUGUGGUCUUCAGAAAGUCAGAAAAUUGUUUUUGGCUUCAGCUAUAUGAGCUUACCCAUCAUUUCUUUCCGGCAAAUUGACCCACUGGCAGAAUUUACUGAAUCAACUAGUCAUUUUGAUAUUGUGUGCACAAAAUCAUCAGGAAACAAACAAAAAAGGUAAAUUCACUUCCUAAAAAUGGACAAAUUAAAAUUUUAUUGCCCCUAUCACUUUUAUAUUAUAAAUAUACAUAUACAUUUAUCACAAUAUGUGUAAACUUAUUUUGUCUCAUGACUGAGAAUGGUGGCACAGAUCUGUAAUCCCUGCCAACAGGGAAGCUGAGGCAGGUGGAAGACAUGAGCUCAGGUGUCCAGAGUGCCAGUAUGCUAAGCCAUUUGGGUAUCCACACUAAAUCUGGCUCCAACAUGAUAAGUUCCUGUGAGUGGAGGCCAUCUCUGAUUGAAAGAAUAAUGAGCACCUUUGAACUCAAAAUCACAGCUCCUGAUUUGUUUCCUAAGGAUGGAGAAAUGUCACUAAAGGAAGCAAAGGGGAACCCAGAACAAGUAUACACAAGAAGACAGCUAGGCUGAAGACAACACAAUUUCUAGGGCACUCAGAUAUAUUUGAAAGAGGAGAAGACAUUAAAUGACUCAAAAAAUCAUGGUCAUCAUCACUGCCAAAAUGGACAAAUAAUAUGGGGAUAGAAGAGUCUAGCCAUCAAAUCAUAUGAAGAAGACCUGAGAGUUUCCACGAAUUUUAAUCUUGAAAUGAGUCAACACUGUAAAAGACAAAUGCGACCUUGGUUGGCACUAAUAGAAGCAUAAUGUAC